CCUANGGGAGGCAGCAGUCGAGAAUUUUUCACAAUGGGCGAAAGCCUGAUGGAGCGACGCCGCGUGGGGGAUGAAUGGCUUCGGCCCGUAAACCCCUGUCAUUCGCGAUCAAACCUUAUCAUUUAAAAGAUGGUGAGCUGAUAGUAGCGGAAGAGGAAGGGACGGCUAACUCUGUGCCAGCAGCCGCGGUAAUACAGAGGUCCCAAGCGUUGUUCGGAUGCACUGGGCGUAAAGGGUGCGUAGGUGGCGAGGUAAGUCGGAUGUGAAAUCUCCAAGCUCAACUUGGAAAUGGCAUUGGAAACUGCCCUGCUAGAGGAUCGGAGGGGGGACUGGAAUACUUGGUGUAGCAGUGAAAUGCGUAGAUAUCAAGUGGAACACCAGUGGCGAAGGCGAGUCCCUGGACGAUACCUGACACUGAGGCACGAAAGCUAGGGGAGCAAACAGGAUUAGAUACCCUUNUANUC
This 464-nucleotide ribosomal RNA is filed under the name uncultured bacterium. RNAcentral's name for it is "bacterial SSU rRNA". It matches the Rfam family "Bacterial small subunit ribosomal RNA", at positions 338 to 795 of the family's 1533-position model. The record is from RNAcentral.